Molecule: long non-coding RNA, 1531 nt
Organism: Corvus hawaiiensis (hawaiian crow)
Lineage: Eukaryota; Metazoa; Chordata; Aves; Passeriformes; Corvidae
Exons: 2
Source: RefSeq, a predicted model, not a curated record
CAGGAACUGCAGCUGUGCUAGGAUGGGUUCAGGAUUUGGCUGACUUGUGUCUGCACCCGCCAGGGCUCCAGAAUCUCUGCCAAAAUACAGAAGCUUUACAGUGUGAACUCCUGCACUUCCACACCCCCUGUGCUCACUUGGGAGAAAGGCUUUGGUUUCGGGAGCCAGGAUUCAGUCAGAGCCUGCCCCUCCGGCAGCUCUACUUCAGCCUUUUUGGAAUAUGUUUCAGGAAUUUAUUUCUGUCUUGUCCAUGCACCAUGUAAUCCAUCUUAAAUUAACAGGUAAGGCAUGAGCAUGAAAUUGGUGCUUGUUUUCACUGUGCCAUUCACCGAUCUACUGUGACUAUCCAGGUAGCUCUGGCUGUGAUCAUUGGUUUUUGUCAAUAACUGGGGGAAAAAACCUGCCCUGUCUUCACUCUAAAAGUCAUCAGAGCCAAUUCUGAUGAUGUUGCUGUCUGCCACGGAGCCUGGGUGAUAAAAACAUAACACUAAAGGCAUUACAAAGAUUAUUUUGGAUUAUUUCCAUAGAAUCUUGUGAGACUGCUGCUCCUCCCAGUGCCACAACACCGCUUGCUGAGGUCUGGGGAGAAAAGCAAAAGCACAGGUGUGAGGAAGCUGCCAUUGUACAACUGUGUAAUCUGUGAUGCAGACAAGUGAUUUAUGAUUGCACGUUCCAUGUAGCAGGAAUGACGUUGCCAGAGGUAAGAACAAGGAGGAAAAUUCAGGCUCCCUUCGGGUGACAGACGAGUCAAAAAUAAAGAGGAUCCAUUUUCAGCUUUCUGGCAAGUCUCAUCAGGAGAGUCCUAGAGCAAAAAAGGGAAAUGGGGCUUUCCUUUUGCAGUCACCCAACUGCCCCAGACUAACCAGUACUCACUAAGGUCCCCCCGAGAGGCAACUGGGAGAACUGGUGCCAUUCCAGCUAACUGGAACACUCUGCACACACCUUGUUUGUCUCACAUUGUGAAAUUCCAUAUUAAUGUACAGCAUUUUCAUGGACAACUCUGACCACUUCUCUCUGGGCUUGGUGGAGGGAAAUGAGGAUCAGCAGAAUUACUGAAAUUGGGUGUCCACCCCCUUCCAAAGAAUGGAGAGCCCUUAGUCCCAAGGGCAGGUGUGGGGAAAAGUUGAAAUUGCUCUGCUUCUCAUGGACUGGACAGGGAUCAAGGGAAAGUGAGGAAAUUCCUGGAGUGCUGCUUAGCUGGGCAGGACCUGAAGUUGUCUGAAUGGCAUAGAUUGGAAGCAGAAUAACUUUCUGAUGGUUUAAUUGAUUCUAGUUAAUAUUUCAAGUGCAGUGGCAACUAAAAGUAAUUGUGAUUAAUUGUUAGAUUGCAAAUAGCUCACACAGGCAUCCAACAUCCGAGCCUUGAAGCAGUUGAAUCUGGUCUCAUUCAUAACAAUAUAUAAGUGUUGAACACUUGAAUUAACCAUUCUGUUCCUCCUCUAUUUUCAAGUUAGUUUGUACUUUGUUGGUUUGGUUUGGUUUUUUUUUUUUCCUUUUGGACAAUUUUAAUAAAUUUUAUCAAUUUUUUUGA